Molecule: ribosomal RNA, 465 nt
Filed under: Vreelandella stevensii
Lineage: Bacteria; Pseudomonadati; Pseudomonadota; Gammaproteobacteria; Oceanospirillales; Halomonadaceae
Description: partial 16S ribosomal RNA
Rfam family: Bacterial small subunit ribosomal RNA
Source: RNAcentral
CCUACGGGAUGCUGCAGUGGGGAAUAUUGGACAAUGGGCGAAAGCCUGAUCCAGCCAUGCCGCGUGUGUGAAGAAGGCCUUCGGGUUGUAAAGCACUUUCAGUGGGGAAGAAAGCCUUGGGGCUAAUACCCUCGAGGAAGGACAUCACCCACAGAAGAAGCACCGGCUAACUCCGUGCCAGCAGCCGCGGUAAUACGGAGGGUGCGAGCGUUAAUCGGAAUUACUGGGCGUAAAGCGCGCGUAGGCGGUCUGAUAAGCCGGUUGUGAAAGCCCCGGGCGCAACCUGGGAACGGCAUCCGGAACUGUCAGGCUAGAGUGCAGGAGAGGAAGGUAGAAUUCCCGGUGUAGCGGAGAAAUGCGUAGAGAUCGGGAGGAAUACCAGUGGCGAAGGCGGCCUUCUGGACUGACACUGACGCUGAGGUGCGAAAGCGUGGGUAGCAAACAGGAUUAGAUACCCGGGUAGUC